RNAcentral lists this unclassified non-coding RNA (147 nucleotides) under soil metagenome. Its description in RNAcentral is "partial internal transcribed spacer 1". The record is from RNAcentral.
UAAUAAGUGUUUUAUGGCACUUUUUAAAUCCAUAUCCACCUUGUGUGCAAUGUCAGUCGAUCUUCUUUUAUGGAGGAUCGACCAAACAUCAACCUUUAUCUUUUAACUCUUUGUCUGAAAAAUAUUAUGAAUAAACAAUUCAAAAUA